This 572-nucleotide ribosomal RNA is filed under the name Anaplasma phagocytophilum. RNAcentral's name for it is "bacterial SSU rRNA". It matches the Rfam family "Bacterial small subunit ribosomal RNA", at positions 36 to 634 of the family's 1533-position model. Lineage: Bacteria; Pseudomonadati; Pseudomonadota; Alphaproteobacteria; Rickettsiales; Anaplasmataceae. The record is from RNAcentral.
CUGGCGGCAAGCUUAACACAUGCAAGUCGAACGGAUUAUUCUUUAUAGCUUGCUAUAGAGAAUAGUUAGUGGCAGACGGGUGAGUAAUGCAUAGGAAUCUACCUAGUAGUAUGGGAUAGCCACUAGAAAUGGUGGGUAAUACUGUAUAAUCCCUGCGGGGGAAAGAUUUAUCGCUAUUAGAUGAGCCUAUGUUAGAUUAGCUAGUUGGUAGGGUAAAGGCCUACCAAGGCGAUGAUCUAUAGCUGGUCUGAGAGGAUGAUCAGCCACACUGGAACUGAGAUACGGUCCAGACUCCUACGGGAGGCAGCAGUGGGGAAUAUUGGACAAUGGGCGCAAGCCUGAUCCAGCUAUGCCGCGUGAGUGAGGAAGGCCUUAGGGUUGUAAAACUCUUUCAGUAGGGAAGAUAAUGACGGUACCUACAGAAGAAGUCCCGGCAAACUCCGUGCCAGCAGCCGCGGUAAUACGGAGGGGGCAAGCGUUGUUCGGAAUUAUUGGGCGUAAAGGGCAUGUAGGCGGUUCGGUAAGUUAAAGGUGAAAUGCCAGGGCUUAACCCUGGAGCUGCUUUUAAUACU